AUAUAGUUUACAUAACUAGCAAGCGGGCAACUGUAGUAAUUUUUGUUGGUAAGCUUUCUUUGAAAAAUUGCGGCCACUAAUUUACUGUUAUCUCCGCAUCUUUCGCUUCUCAAUACGAUUCUUGGUCAAAAACUUUUCGCGUUGCUAGUCCUUCAUAGAUACGUAAAAUACUAAAUUGUUUUUCAGUGCGAUAACAUAUUGAAAAUCCGAUUAUUAAACAUAUUUUUAGGCAUCAUCGUAUCUUCAAGUUCAUCGCAGUGUGUCAUCCCAUUUGCCGAUGGUGAUUUAACCAUCGUAAUAUUAUGAUGUACAAUAAAUUACAAUGUGUCCUGAAAAGAAAUAACUGGCCGGCAUUAUGUGAAAAUAUACCAACAAAUAUCUUGAAAAAUCCUUAAAAGAAAUCUUGGAAAAUAGGGAGGUUUUUGUUUUAUUUGAAAUUAUAUUAUUAUUUGUAAAAUAAUUACUGCAGGGCCUCAUUGAGAUAACUGAUAUGGAAAUCAAAUAGAAUAUAUUUAAUACAACUAAAUAUAUUUAAUGACAUAGUCUAUGUUCAGGGAGAAGACCUUUAGGAUUUCCGGAAUUUAAAAUGGCUACAACCACUACAAAUCCAAAUCUCGAUAAGUAGAUUUUUAAAUGUUAAAUUAUAUUUGAUAAAAUACGUAAAAUACGAUUCCGGUAAAUGAAGCUGCGACAGUGGUGUAGCUAAAUUGCCUAUCUAAAUCACCGUGUCACUUUAAAUAUGAUAUCAGAAAGAUAGACUCACAUACCCAAUCAUGGCCACAACGAAAAAGAAGAUCAUGUUGAAAUCGUGAAUUGACAUAAAAAUUGGUUGUUAUUAUAUAGUUACGAGUUUUAUUACAUAAGAAAAACAGGCGCGGAUCCUGAGGGUGGGCUGGGUGGGCCUGGGCCCACCCAAAAUUUCCAGAAACAAUAAUUUUAAUUUUGAGUAUUGGCAUUUAUUAUUUUAGAAUUUUUAUUAUAAG
This is a long non-coding RNA of Aphis gossypii (cotton aphid), 983 nucleotides long. RefSeq lists it as uncharacterized. The record is from RefSeq and is a predicted model, not a curated record. The transcript has 3 exons. NCBI's taxonomy places the organism in Eukaryota, Metazoa, Arthropoda, Insecta, Hemiptera, Aphididae.